This 529-nucleotide ribosomal RNA is filed under the name uncultured bacterium. RNAcentral describes it as "bacterial SSU rRNA". It matches the Rfam family "Bacterial small subunit ribosomal RNA", at positions 777 to 1304 of the family's 1533-position model. The record is from RNAcentral.
AAUAGAUACCCUGGUAGUCCACGCCGUAAACGAUGAGUGCUAAGUGUUAGAGGGUUUCCGCCCUUUAGUGCUGAAGUUAACGCAUUAAGCACUCCGCCUGGGGAGUACGGUCGCAAGACUGAAACUCAAAGGAAUUGACGGGGGCCCGCACAAGCGGUGGAGCAUGUGGUUUAAUUCGAAGCAACGCGAAGAACCUUACCAGGUCUUGACAUCCCGCUGACCGCCAUGGAGACAUGGCUUUCCCUUCGGGGACAGCGGUGACAGGUGGUGCAUGGUUGUCGUCAGCUCGUGUCGUGAGAUGUUGGGUUAAGUCCCGCAACGAGCGCAACCCUUGUCCUUAGUUGCCAUCAUUCAGUUGGGCACUCUAAGGAGACUGCCGUACAAAUACGGAGGAAGGUGGGGAUGACGUCAAAUCAUCAUGCCCCUUAUGACCUGGGCUACACACGUGCUACAAUGGGCAGUACAAAGGGCUGCGAACCCGCGAGGGGGAGCCAAUCCCAAAAAAGCUGCUCUCAGUUCGGAUUGCAGG